Molecule: ribosomal RNA, 465 nt
Filed under: uncultured bacterium
Lineage: Bacteria
Description: partial 16S ribosomal RNA
Rfam family: Bacterial small subunit ribosomal RNA
Source: RNAcentral
CUACGGGUCGCUGCAGUGGGGAAUAUUGGACAAUGGGGGAAACCCUGAUCCAGCAAUGCCGCGUGUGUGAAGAAGGCCUGCGGGUUGUAAAGCACUUUCGGUUGGGAGGACUGCUUCUAGCACUAAUAUUGUUGGAAGUUGACGUUACCUUCAGAAGAAGCACCGGCUAACUCCGUGCCAGCAGCCGCGGUAAUACGGAGGGUGCAAGCGUUAAUCGGAAUUACUGGGCGUAAAGCGCGCGUAGGCGGCUAGAUCAGUCGGGUGUGAAAGCCCCGGGCUUAACCUGGGAACUGCAUCCGAUAGUGUCUAGCUUGAGUACAGGAGAGGAGAGUGGAAUUCCACAUGUAGCGGUGAAAUGCGUAGAUAUGUGGAGGAACACCAAUGGCGAAGGCAGCUCUCUGGCCUGAUACUGACGCUGAGGUGCGAAAGUGUGGGGAGCAAACAGGAUUAGAUACCCGAGUAGUC